GUACACGCUGUGACUAGCAUAUCAAUAAGCGGAGGAAAAGAAACUAACAAGGAUUCCCCUAGUAACGGCGAGUGAAGCGGGAAGAGCUCAAAUUUGAAAUCUUAAAGGGUUUCCCUUUACGAAUUGUAGUUUAAAGAAGUGUUUUCUGUUGAGGUUUUGGUAAAAGUUCUUUGGAAUAGGACAUCAUAGAGGGUGAGAAUCCCGUAUUUGACCUUUACUUUCAACUUUGUGAUACACUUUCAAAGAGUCGGAUUGUUUGGGAAUGCAGUCCAAAAUGGGUGGUAAAUUUCAUCUAAAGCUAAAUAUUGGCGAGAGACCGAUAGCGAACAAGUACCGUGAGGGAAAGAUGAAAAGAACUUUGAAAAGAGAGUUAAACAGUACGUGAAAUUGUCAAAAGGGAAGCGUUUGACACCAGUGUUGUUUUUCUGAAAAUCAAUUAAAGAACUGUUUAUGCUAAGUUGUUUAGACUUUAUCAACUAUCUGUUUAGUUUUGAGCUUUUCUUUAAUGCACUUUUCAGUUAACAAGUCAACAUCAAUUUCUUUUGCUGUAAAAAAGCUUGAGGAAGGUGGCUUGAGAUUCGUCUUAAGUGUUUAUAGCCUCUUGCCUAUGCAGUCGGAGAGAUUGAGGUCUGCAGCGUAGGAUCCUUCGGGGCUAAAUGCAUUUGUGCUAAGUUAUAGCAUUUUAUAGACAACUUGUUGACUAUGAUUUUGUCUUGUAGCUUACUCGCUUAUGUUAUUUUACCUACGCUUAGGAUGUUGAAGAUGUAGCACAUCAU
Molecule: ribosomal RNA, 776 nt
Filed under: uncultured Neocallimastigales
Lineage: Eukaryota; Fungi; Neocallimastigomycota; Neocallimastigomycetes; Neocallimastigales
Description: partial large subunit ribosomal RNA
Rfam family: Eukaryotic large subunit ribosomal RNA
Source: RNAcentral